This 460-nucleotide ribosomal RNA is filed under the name uncultured bacterium. RNAcentral describes it as "partial 16S ribosomal RNA". It matches the Rfam family "Bacterial small subunit ribosomal RNA", at positions 338 to 795 of the family's 1533-position model. The record is from RNAcentral.
CCUACGGGUGGCAGCAGUGAGGAAUAUUGGUCAAUGGACGCAAGUCUGAACCAGCCAUGCCGCGUGCAGGAAGACGGCUCUAUGAGUUGUAAACUGCUUUUGUACGAGGGUAAACGCAGAUACGCGUAUCUGUCUGAAAGUAUCGUACGAAUAAGGAUCGGCUAACUCCGUGCCAGCAGCCGCGGUAAUACGGAGGAUUCAAGCGUUAUCCGGAUUUAUUGGGUUUAAAGGGUGCGUAGGCGGUCGGAUAAGUUAGAGGUGAAAUCCCGAGGCUCAACUUCGGAAUUGCCUCUAAUACUGUUCGGCUAGAGAGUAGUUGCGGUAGGCGGAAUGUAUGGUGUAGCGGUGAAAUGCUUAGAGAUCAUACAGAACACCGAUUGCGAAGGCAGCUUACCAGGCUACUUCUGACGUUGAGGCACGAAAGCGUGGGGAGCGAACAGGAUUAGAUACCCUAGUAGUC